Molecule: ribosomal RNA, 705 nt
Filed under: Triticum aestivum (bread wheat)
Lineage: Eukaryota; Viridiplantae; Streptophyta; Magnoliopsida; Poales; Poaceae
Description: partial small subunit ribosomal RNA
Source: RNAcentral
AUGAACCAGGACAAGGUCGUCAUGGAGAGCUGGUAUUACCUGAAGGAAUCUGUUCUUAAUGGUGGAACCCCAUUCAAUAAGGCACAUGGGAUGUCUGCGUUUGAAUACCUAGCCAAGGACACACGCUUCAACCGUGUGUUCAAUGAGGGCAUGAAGAGUCAUUCAAUCAUCAUCACGAGGAAGCUUCUCGAGUUCUACAAUGGCUUUGAUAGAGUCGGCACCCUCAUUGAUAUCGGCGGCGGUAUCGGCACCACACUCCACGCCAUCACCACCAAGUACCCGAGCAUCAGGGGGAUCAACUUUGACCUCCCCCAUGUUGCCUCCGAGGCACCGCCAUUCCCCCGGGUGACGCACGUGGGGGGCGACAUGUUUCAGAAGGUUCCCUCAGGCGACAUGAUCCUUAUGAAGUGGAUCCUUCAUGACUGGAGUGAUGAGCAUUGUAUCACAUUGCUCAAGAACUGCUACGAUGCGCUACCAGCACAUGGUAAGGUGGUGGUUAUAGAGUGCAUCCUACCGGAGAAGGAGAACCCAAAUGCCACGCCUAGGGCAUUGUUCCAUGUUGACAUGAUCAUGCUCGCUCAAAACCCUGGCGGCAAGGAGAGAUACGAGAGGGAAUUCAGGAAGCUUGCUAUGGGUGCGGGGUUCACUGACAUCAACACCACCUACAUCUAUGCUGAAGCCUGGGCAAUUGAGUUGACCAAGUAG